UACGGAGGGAGCUAGCGUUGUUCGGAAUUACUGGGCGUAAAGCGCGCGUAGGCGGCUUUGUAAGUUAGAGGUGAAAGCCCGGGGCUCAACCCCGGAAUUGCCUUUAAGACUGCAUCGCUUGAAUCCGGGAGAGGUGAGUGGAAUUCCGAGUGUAGAGGUGAAAUUCGUAGAUAUUCGGAAGAACACCAGUGGAGAAGGCGGCUCACUGGACCGGCAUUGACGCUGAGGUGCGAAAGCGUGGGGAGCAAACAGG
RNAcentral lists this ribosomal RNA (253 nucleotides) under uncultured bacterium. RNAcentral's name for it is "partial 16S ribosomal RNA". It matches the Rfam family "Bacterial small subunit ribosomal RNA", at positions 524 to 776 of the family's 1533-position model. The record is from RNAcentral.